RNAcentral lists this ribosomal RNA (349 nucleotides) under Octomeris brunnea. RNAcentral's name for it is "partial 12S ribosomal RNA". The record is from RNAcentral. Lineage: Eukaryota; Metazoa; Arthropoda; Thecostraca; Balanomorpha; Chthamalidae.
UGUUACUUUUUACUAGGUUUCCUUGGAGUAUUAAUGUUAAUGAAAUUUAACGGAUUUGGCGGCAAGAUAGCCCGUUUAGAGGAACCUGCCCUGUGAACGAUGAGCCACGAACAACUUUACUUUUUUUGGUAAUCAGUUUGUAUACCGCUGUUGUCAGUCAGUCUCGCUAGGGAACUUUCGAUAAUGGAAAGGUCAUUGACUUCAAGUAAAGGUGCAGCUUAUAAAAAAGAGAGAGGUGGGUUACAAUUUAAAUGAUAAAUGACGGAUAACAAGAUGAAAAAUUGUUUGAAGGUGGAUUUAAUUGUAAAAUUUUGGAAAGUUUGAUACGAGCACUAACUUGUGUACAUAC